This 542-nucleotide ribosomal RNA is filed under the name uncultured bacterium. RNAcentral's name for it is "bacterial SSU rRNA". It matches the Rfam family "Bacterial small subunit ribosomal RNA", at positions 8 to 526 of the family's 1533-position model. The record is from RNAcentral.
AGAGUUUGAUCAUGGCUCAGAACGAACGCUGGCGGCGUGCCUAACACAUGCAAGUCGAACGAGAAAGGGGCUUCGGCCCUGAGUAAAGUGGCGCACGGGUGAGUAACACGUGGGUAACCUGCCUCUGAGAUCGGGAUAACCUGUCGAAAGACGGGCUAAUACCGGAUAAGACCACGACUCCUGAGGGGAUUGAGGUCAAAGGUAGCCUCUGCAUGCAAGCUAUCACUUAGAGAUGGGCCUGCGUACCAUUAGCUAGUUGGUAGGGUAACGGCCUACCAAGGCAAAGAUGGGUAGCUGGUCUGAGAGGAUGAUCAGCCACACUGGAACUGAGACACGGUCCAGACUCCUACGGGAGGCAGCAGUGGGGAAUAUUGCGCAAUGGGCGAAAGCCUGACGCAGCAACGCCGCGUGGGUGAUGAAGGCCUUCGGGUCGUAAAGCCCUGUCGGAGGGAACGAAUGCUCUUGAGGUUAAUAGCCUCGAGAGGUGACGGUACCCUCAAAGGAAGCACCGGCUAACUCUGUGCCAGCAGCCGCGGUAAUAC